CGGGAGGAAGACCGGAGGAACUGGCGGGGGACGGGGGAGUGCUCGGGACCGGACCCGGUACUUACCUCGUCCCUGAAGAUCCGGAUCCAGACGAUGAAGAUGGCGGCGGCGGCGACAGGCACCGGACCUACCUGCAGUGCCGACUUACUCUUUCAUAUUACGCCAAGACCAAACCAGUAGGCCACAAACCGAGAAACUGCCAUCAAGAAAGUGUUCGCUGCUUAGUGUCUCCUGUAUGUAAACUCCAAUGACUUUGACUGUUAGAUGACCUUGUGGAAGCA
Hyla sarda is the source of this 281-nucleotide long non-coding RNA. RefSeq lists it as uncharacterized. The transcript has 3 exons. Lineage: Eukaryota; Metazoa; Chordata; Amphibia; Anura; Hylidae. The record is from RefSeq and is a predicted model, not a curated record.